Molecule: unclassified non-coding RNA, 1615 nt
Filed under: Rhagoletis pomonella (apple maggot)
Lineage: Eukaryota; Metazoa; Arthropoda; Insecta; Diptera; Tephritidae
Description: beta-1,4-glucuronyltransferase 1, transcript variant X1
Source: RNAcentral
AGAAAUCCUUUCAAUGUAUUGGAGUUUCGGGUAGUCGCGUCUUGUAGGAAAGUAAUUUGGCAACAAGCGGUGAUAACUGAUUGUUCCAUAUCGAUUAUUGUGCCGAUAGUUGACGGUGAUGACCAUUCCUUAAUAAAAGAAAAAUAAGAAAAGGGCAAAAAUGGUGAAAUAAGUGGAUUUUCAGGAGUUUUUAUUUAUCAUGUGUACACAUUGGAAAAUAAUUAAAGUUAAAUGCUUGGUUUUAUUCUUAUUAAUUUUUUCAACCGCGGUAAACCUUCUGUGGACACUUUGCUUACUUGAAAUGGAAACGCGUUCGCAGUAUGUCAAUAAAUCGUCAAAUAGAAUAACGAAAACAACUGCAUUUGAAAAAACUCUAUUAAUAGACUCUACAAUUAAUAGAACAGCAUUCGAGAAAAUUUCGAAGCAUAGUUUUAGGCUUGCUUUCGAAAAUAUAAGCUUUGAUACCGGAAGAUGGGACAAUCAUCGGCUUUAUAAGAUGUAUGAUUUCGCCUUGAUUGGAGAUAACUUUGUUGAAGCUUCGCAUGAAAACAUUGUAUGCUUAGCUACCCAAAGUUCUGUGGAGCGGCUAUAUUCAUUGACACAAGUUGCUCACCAAUGGAACGGUCCGAUAUCCACUGCUGUUUAUGUUGCCGGAAAUGAAGAGUUUUCUAUUUUACAAUACUUCGUAACAUACAUGCGGCUUUGUUUCUCAUUUAUUCGUGAUAACGUUACAUUUCACAUUGCUAUACCGAAUGACAAGAAACCUACUCACGGUCACAAGCCAAAUCUUAUAAAAAACUUUGAUUGCCAAUAUCCUGAACAAACACUACGCCAUUUACUCAAAAUGCGCUCUGCGGACACAAUAAGAUGGCGCAUAAAGAACGAAUAUCCUCAAAAUCAUUUACGUAACCUAGCAAGAAAAGGGUGUCAAAAUAAAUAUGUAUUCCUAACGGACAUCGAUAUAAUUCCUAGUGGAAAUAUGGUAUCACUUUUGAAUAAUUUUCUACAGUCAGCAAAAUGCAGUUACCGAUGCGCAUAUGUGAUUCCAACUUUCGAAAUAGACAAUAGAGCUAUGUUUCCAGUUUCGAAGCCGGAGCUUAUGCGACUCUAUAGGAAAGGUCUAGUACGACCAUUUCACGAGAAGGUUUUUAUAUACAACCAAUACGCAACUAACUUUUCCUUAUGGCUAACGAAUUCCUCAAUUGAAGAAGAGCGGGCGCACAUAAGUCAUGUUGUAACAAAUUUUGAAUUUUUGUACGAGCCUUUCUAUGUCGCCUUUGACGAUGUUCCUGCACAUGAUGAGAGAUUUAUAGGUUAUGGAUUCACCAGAAACUCGCAGUUGGCGUCAUCAAUGUAAAAAUCCCUGAAUCACAAAUUUAAAGUUAAAUUGAUGCAAAAAAACUUUAAAUUAGCGUAAAAAUGCUUGCAAGGAUGCCAAUAAUUCGCAUAGUAUUUAAGAUAAAACUGCGAAAGUAUCUGAGACCAUACUAGCGGAAUAUUUGCGAAUAAGAAACGAUUUCCAAAGUCUACGAAAUGUAUAUCGCUGGGUACACUUUUUUUGUACUAUCCCCUGUUUUUAACUGCCAUUGGGGAUUGCAGCAGAAAAAAGCACGAC